This 486-nucleotide ribosomal RNA is filed under the name uncultured bacterium. Its description in RNAcentral is "partial 16S ribosomal RNA". It matches the Rfam family "Bacterial small subunit ribosomal RNA", at positions 30 to 507 of the family's 1533-position model. The record is from RNAcentral.
AUUGAACGCUGGCGGCAUGCCUUACACAUGCAAGUCGAACGGCAGCACGGGUGCUUGCCCCUGGUGGCGAGUGGCGAACGGGUGAGUAAUACAUCGGAACAUGUCCUGUAGUGGGGGAUAGCCCGGCGAAAGCCGGAUUAAUACCGCAUACGAUCCACGGAUGAAAGCGGGGGACCUUCGGGCCUCGCGCUAUAGGGGUGGCCGAUGGCUGAUUAGCUAGUUGGUGGGGGAAAGGCCUACCAAGGCGGCGAUCAGUAGCUGGUCUGAGAGGACGACCAGCCACACUGGGACUGAGACACGGCCCAGACUCCUACGGGAGGCAGCAGUGGGGAAUUUUGGACAAUGGGCGAAAGCCUGAUCCAGCAAUGCCGCGUGUGUGAAGAAGGCCUUCGGGUUGUAAAGCACUUUUGUCCGGAAAGAAAUCCUUGACUCUAAUACAGUCGGGGGAUGACGGUACCGGAAGAAUAAGCACCGGCUAACUACGUG